Molecule: long non-coding RNA, 3881 nt
Organism: Acipenser ruthenus (sterlet)
Lineage: Eukaryota; Metazoa; Chordata; Actinopteri; Acipenseriformes; Acipenseridae
Exons: 2
Source: RefSeq, a predicted model, not a curated record
AAAUAAACUAAAGAAAAUGCUCUUCAAUACAAAAUUAAAAAGAAAAGAAAAGAAACAAGUUUAAAGGAAGUAAAAAUUAAAAGAACAAACCAAACAAAGGAAAAAAAAAACAAGCCAAAAUGGCUGCCCUCCUACACUUGCAAACAAGCAAGUGUAGGAGAACCAAAGAAAAAAGAAAUAAAAUGUGUUUUUAAAACACUAAAUAAAAGUUUUAACUAACAAAAAAGGUGCCCUGCUGCUUUAGAAAAAAGAAUAUAUAAAAAGAUUGUGAAAAUAAAAAGAUGAAAACACUGUUUAAUAGACUUUGAGCAGGAGCUCACCUCACGCGCGACUGCUCUCGCUCAAGGGUACAGCAGCCGUGUCCCCCAUCUGGGAUUGAACCCACAACCCUCCGUUCAAGAGUCCAAAGCCAUAACCACUGCUCCACACUGCUGCCAUGCUGGGGUCAAUUGAUCCAAACAGUAGACAUCUAAACUGAGAGUCUCUAGAGUAUGUAUGUCUGUCUUCGGGGCUAUGACAUGUAAACCUGUGUAAUUGAACUGAAACUGUGGUUCAAAAGGAAAUUGACCUCUAAACUUGCAUGACAACAGUUGGAGAUAUUUCUCUUGAAUGGAAAUGCAGCCACUAUUCUAAUGACUGAAAAAGCGGUGGAUUCAAACAUUACCACUUUUUAACAAUAAAAAUACAGUGGAACAAAGUCCGCAAAGAAUCAGGUUUUUAAUUUCAAGAAGACGAUAUUUAGAUCUGACACUAUUUACAUCAUUAAAUUUGUCCCUGUUGUCUGCAAAUGUUGCUACUUCUGCUAAAUGACAUUGUUUAUUUACCCACAGAAUGCUUGACAAGUCCAAUCACAUCCGCCAAGACCCAACAAAACAAUUCAACAGGCACGUGUGAUUCUGUUUGUUUUUCAUAAUUUUACUAAACUAAAUAAAAGCAUUUUUUUUAAACUAGACCAAUUUUAUUUUUUAUAACCAUACUGUAGUCUAAAAUAUAGACUGUACUGCUGAAACUGCUAUAUCUGUUCAGAACAACUUUCCCAGUGGCUAUUGAAUGGUACGUAAUUUCAGCUGGAUAUUAUUAUUAUUAUUAUUAUUAUUAUUAUUAUUAUUAUUAUUACAUACAAUAUUUGUGUAUAGUCCACUAAGAUACAGUAAACUAAAAUGUGCAUGUAAAGAAAAUGACAACCCCAAAUUUGUGUUCAAGAGUAUGGCAGUUGCAAAAAACUGUAAGUAUUCUUUAGAUGUUUUAUACAGGUGUAACAGAGUGGAUAGUUAUAAUAGUUAGGCUGGGGGAAUGUUGCGUCAAUUGCAGCAUACUAAGUUUAGUCCACUUGGUGUGUCUAACUAGUGGAUUAACCAGGUUUAGUCCACUUGAUUGGACUAAAGUUAGUACACCUAAUCCCGAUUACAGCGUACAAAAAGUUAAUCGUCACAGGUAGAUCAUCUUUUAAUUCAGACUAAACAAGAUCCUGAUUGCAGUGUACCAAAUCAGAUUCAUGAUGAUCCUGUUCAAGUGGAUUAAUUUAGUACUGUGAAGGAUAAGACUAACUUAAUACGCUUGCUUGUCCUAAACUGAAAUGACGAGUACAUCUGAAAACUUUAUUCUGUACAUUUCUUAUGUCCGUCACGUUCGGGCAGUCAGGUCCAUGAGAAUAAAGUUUCACACAAUGUAUAUAGGUCCUACAUUUGAAGCUUUUUAAUCAUGUACCUUUGAUACCGUUUUCAGUUUAAUGCAAUACAAUUUCAGUUAAUAUGUUUUAACUAUAAACAACUAAUGGUCCAUUAUAACACAAUUCAACUUUCCUGUGCCUAUGCAGCCGUGUCGGCAAUUAAAAGCAAGUAUGAUCUGCCAGUUUGAAAUGUGCACGAAAGACAUGACAUUUAUUUUUACUUAAAUAUGUUUGAUGUAAUACAAAUGUGUCUCUUUUUGUACAGGCAUCCCUAUAUAUCUAUCUGACACUGCAUUCCACAGAUUGGACUAGUAAAGAAGGGUUUAUACAGAUCUGGACAAAUGUUUUGCAUCAAAGAAACUACUAAAAAGUCUACCGGAAGCCAUAUUAGUAGUACAGAGUUUCAUGUUAGAUUUUAAAAUGUCACAUUUUUUAAUUUUCAGUCAGUUUUUUGUUACGUAUAAGGAAAACUACAAAGCAGUAUGUAAUUUUAAUAUAUUAACGUAAGAUUAUUUAGCAGGUUUUAUUCAACUUUAUGAAGUAAAAUGUGUUAAUUCUAUGGGACGAUGCAAAACUUCUGGCCAUAGCUGUAGGUUACUCCUCAUUAUCGGCCUAACUUGUAUUUAUCAGUUAAAACAAUUACCGGGAUCAUCUCUUUCAUAAUUUUCUAUUUUUUCCACAUCAAAAAUGAGGCCCUGUUUAUUUAUAUACCAGCAGUACAAACACAUGCUUAACGGGUACUCAGAAAGGAAUGUAGUGCCUUCACUAAUAGAGUAUGGGCCACAAACAACAGGUUUAAAUAUUUGAUUUCCACUAUUUACAUCAUUAAAUCAAAUUUAUGUUGGUCUGAAUUAUUACAAAUAUUGUAAAGCUGACCACCUUUUUAACCUAACGAUGAAGAUUUAAUAAACACUAUUGUACACAUUAUACUAUGAGAUUAAAUUGUCACCCCUGCUCUUCAUAUGUUAACAUGUAGAUGAGCCGCUCAGGGGGGUCAGGUUCGGCUCACAGAAAUACUUCUUAUCCCUGUGUUGUGUCUCCACACAGCCGGUGCAACCACUGAUUCUGUCUCUCCCUCAAUUCAGAGUCAUACGGGCUGGGGAAUGACAUCAGAAUCUUCCUAUCCCUGGGGAUCCUUCUUGUGCUCUCAGGUAUUGUGGGGGAAGACUUCUAUAGCAGACAGAGGAAGCACCACGGGGAAGACACCAAUGGACAAUAAACAGGCCUGUCAUUCAAAGCUGUCCUUUGAUCUGCAGUGCAGGUGGAACACAUCUUGUAAUACGACACAAACGACUCACAAGUUACAAAGAAAUAUCCUGCGAGGAAAAGGAGAGCUCUGCAAAGAGCACCACGCUGUGCAAGCAAAGUAAAAGUGUUGCUAUCUUGUGUUAUCUGCUAACAUGUGCAAGCUUAUUGUAAGACAAGUUCCUGAAUUCAACAAUGCUGAUUGUAUAAAGUGUUACUGAACACCCUGAAGUGUUUCAAGAUACGCAAUACUUUGCUUUUGCUGUAUCUAUUUUCCAUACAUUCUUCAAUGUAGGCAUGUUUUUUUCACACCUCAUAUAUUUAUAUGAAUAGAUAACAUAUUUCUCAGGCGUGUUCGUCAGGAGGAGAGAAGUUCUCUUAAAAACAUCAUAGUGUAUCCAGAUCGUGCUCCCGCUUGCAACAAAGCUGCUGCUCUGAAUGAGUGCUUGUUGUGGAAAUUAGCAUGGUUGUAAGAAGGAGCAUGAACUCGAUAUUCUACAGGCUGAUUCAUAAUUCACACAGCAUUGUCAGAUCAUUGAGAAAACUGGAGCAUACGUGGAGGAUGAUCUGCAAAGGAGCAAUGUCUGUGACUGAGACUGUUUGGCAAUCAGGGAGUUAUUCAAUAAUGUCAACAUUGAAGGACAACUGAUAACAAUGUAAAACAACAAUGCUGUGCAAAUGUUUCACCCUGUAUGUUAAAACCAACAUGAUCUUUUCUGGCUAAUGAUGCAGAUUAAUGUAUUUUCAACUGAUUAUGAAGUGUGAAUCAAAAAUAUUAAAACAAUCAGAAAUGUGUUUAAAACUAUACUGACAACAAGGGAUACAUCAUAGAUAAAGUAAUGUGUUGUAAACAAUGUAGGGUGUUCUGUAACACACAACAAUAUUGUUCUUUUAAAUGUGUUGUGUAUUAAACCGUAGUGUUACUUGAAUUAAAACCAAAACAUACCUUAUGUGUUCAAAUUGGUAA